Molecule: unclassified non-coding RNA, 965 nt
Filed under: Hevea brasiliensis (rubber tree)
Lineage: Eukaryota; Viridiplantae; Streptophyta; Magnoliopsida; Malpighiales; Euphorbiaceae
Source: RNAcentral
UUUUGUUUUCUGCUUGUGCAAUGUGCGUAUCUAUAAAUGGAUGCUUAACUAAAACUUCUCUAUCAUGGUAACCUUUUGGUUUGCAGUUUGAUGCAGCCCCAACCUUUUUUUACGCGGCAUUAUGUUUUGUGUCCUGUUAUGCAUAUGGAUUUAGCAUAUGUCUAUAGUCAAGUUCAGUCAUCCGGUUGAAAUUAUCUCCUGUAUUUUGUGAUGUUUUUCAGUUAGUAUUCAACAGCAUGAUAAUUGGGGCAUUCUCUCUUGUUCUUCACAUCAUAUAACAUGGAUCUUUGUGUUAUGGGAUCCUGGCAUGCAUGAUUCUAUAUUAUGGGAUCCUGGCAUGUAGUAUCAUUCAGAAUAUUAACUUUGAAGUAGAUGAAUAUUCAUGAAUACCAUGUUGUUACCUCCAGCUUGUUUGUCGAUUUAGUUCACAAUAUUUCUUUCUCUCUUCCACUUUUGUUUUGAAGAGUGAUGUCGUUAGGUUGGAUGACAUUUUCCAGAUGAAUUCUAUAUUUCGCAUUCUUUGCAGUGCUAUAACAGCUUUUUGUGACUGGGGGAGAAGCAGUCAUUUUGUUGUAAUCUUUCGGGAAUAAAUUCCUGGCAAAAUGGUUAAAACUUUAUCAUAUGUGAAUAUUCUUGUUCUUGACUGAUUAGCUUCCUAUGUGCAAGCAUGCUGUUGAUAUCCUACUCUAAAUGCAUCAUCAUAGUAUCAAUUUCUUGCCCCUAAAUUAAAAUGGGUUUUGCGCAAGCAAGAAAAUAGAUGUACGCUUUUGGUGAGGAAGAUGGGAGAGAAGUACUGACUUUUCAUUUUUGAUCACCCUUAACGAAUUUUUUCAUAUAGAUGCCCAUUACUGUAGAUAAUUUCUCAGCAGAUCCUCAGUGUAUUAUGGAGGCAAUUCUUACCAUAUGACAUUUCCAUUCAAUUCAGUCUCCCCCGCCGAAAGCAAUACAAUUGAGGAGCCAAAGGU